AAGUGUUUUCCGCGUUGGACCGCGCAUAAGUCUGUUGGAAUACAGCGGCACAGUGGUGAGACCCCCGUAUGUGGUGCGGACGCCCAGCGCUUUGUGAUACACUUUCGAAGAGUCGAGUUGUUUGGGAAUGCAGCUCAAAUUGGGUGGUAAAUUCCAUCUAAAGCUAAAUAUUGGCGAGAGACCGAUAGCGAACAAGUACCGUGAGGGAAAGAUGAAAAGCACUUUGGAAAGAGAGUUAACAGUACGUGAAAUUGUUGGAAGGGAAACGCUUGAAGUCAGACUUGCUUGCCGGGCAACCGGUUUGCAGGCCAGCAUCAGUUUUCCGGGGUGGAUAAUGGUAGAGAGAAGGUAGCAGUUUCGGCUGUGUUAUAGCUCUCUACUGGAUACACCUUGGGGGACUGAGGAACGCAGUGUGCCUUAC
This 421-nucleotide ribosomal RNA is filed under the name Rhodotorula sphaerocarpa. RNAcentral's name for it is "eukaryotic LSU rRNA". It matches the Rfam family "Eukaryotic large subunit ribosomal RNA", at positions 156 to 584 of the family's 3401-position model. The record is from RNAcentral. Lineage: Eukaryota; Fungi; Basidiomycota; Microbotryomycetes; Sporidiobolales; Sporidiobolaceae.